RNAcentral lists this non-coding RNA (31 nucleotides) under Rattus norvegicus (Norway rat). Lineage: Eukaryota; Metazoa; Chordata; Mammalia; Rodentia; Muridae. The record is from RNAcentral.
UAAAGGCUACAGCCAGUGUUUGGGCUAUGGU